Molecule: non-coding RNA, 30 nt
Filed under: Rattus norvegicus (Norway rat)
Lineage: Eukaryota; Metazoa; Chordata; Mammalia; Rodentia; Muridae
Source: RNAcentral
UGAGAGCCUCUUGCCCUCUCUGGUCCCAGC